Molecule: non-coding RNA, 465 nt
Organism: Paralichthys olivaceus (Japanese flounder)
Lineage: Eukaryota; Metazoa; Chordata; Actinopteri; Pleuronectiformes; Paralichthyidae
Source: RefSeq, a predicted model, not a curated record
UGUGGUUGUGCUCCACGCUGGGCUGCAGCUGUGAAUUUAAGAUAAACUAGAUAAAUCAAACAAAUAGACGUUAACAGCGUUUAGACAACAUCGGAAAUCGAACAAUAACAUCACGAUGUAUUCGCAUCCGUACAUGAAACCAGCCAAUACUCCGCUAAAGGCACAUUAUUUUAAAAUGUAUCCUACAUGUACUAAGUUGAUGCACGGAGCUGCCUGAGCUGUUUAUCUCACUGAGGGAAGAAAACACUUUAUCCAACAAUGUAAAGUGAACCAGGAAACAGAGACAGCUCACCUGUGGAGAGAGAGGUCGAUGCAGCGAGAAUCUGGAGCUGGAAAAUGAAUCAGCCGUGGAUGCUCUGGCUCAGACUGUGGUUCAAGGACAACCAGCACAUGGACAAAGUCCCAUCCCAAUCUCAUUCUUGUGGACACCAUGGAGAUAGAAGCUAAGUGAAGACUCUUAAAGCA